UACGGGGGGGGCAAGGCGUUGUUCGGAAUUACUGGGCGUAAAGGGUCUGUAGGUGGCCAACUAAGUCAGACGUGAAAUCCCUCAGCUUAACUGGGGAACUGCGUCUGAUACUGGAUGGCUUGAGUGCAGGAGAGGAACGCGGAAUUCCAGGUGUAGCGGUGAAAUGCGUAGAUAUCUGGAGGAACACCGGUGGCGAAGGCGGCGUUCUGGACUGCAACUGACACUGAGAGACGAAAGCCAGGGGAGCAAACGGG
Molecule: ribosomal RNA, 254 nt
Filed under: uncultured bacterium
Lineage: Bacteria
Description: partial 16S ribosomal RNA
Rfam family: Bacterial small subunit ribosomal RNA
Source: RNAcentral